GAUGAACGCUGGCGGCGUGCCUAAUACAUGCAAGUCGAGCGAACAGACGAGGAGCUUGCUCCUCUGACGUUAGCGGCGGACGGGUGAGUAACACGUGGAUAACCUACCUAUAAGACUGGGAUAACUUCGGGAAACCGGAGCUAAUACCGGAUAAUAUAUUGAACCGCAUGGUUCAAUAGUGAAAGACGGUUUUGCUGUCACUUAUAGAUGGAUCCGCGCCGCAUUAGCUAGUUGGUAAGGUAACGGCUUACCAAGGCAACGAUGCGUAGCCGACCUGAGAGGGUGAUCGGCCACACUGGAACUGAGACACGGUCCAGACUCCUACGGGAGGCAGCAGUAGGGAAUCUUCCGCAAUAGGCGAAAGCAUGACGGAGCAACGCCGCGUGAGUGAUGAAGGUCUUCGGAUCGUAAAACUCUGUUAUUAGGGAAGAACAAAUGUGUAAGUAACUAUGCACGUCUUGACGGUACCUAAUCAGAAAGCCACGGCUAACUACGUG
RNAcentral lists this ribosomal RNA (497 nucleotides) under uncultured bacterium. Its description in RNAcentral is "partial 16S ribosomal RNA". It matches the Rfam family "Bacterial small subunit ribosomal RNA", at positions 28 to 507 of the family's 1533-position model. The record is from RNAcentral.